GUGUUGCUGGGUGUAUGCCCAUUUUCCUGUUCGAACGUCCACUCUGUAUUCCACAAAAGCAUCCUCUACCGGUCAUCUAUCCGUGUCUCAGUGACAAGUGCCUUGCUUGCCUAGAAUUCCCUGACAUCACCAACAAUGCUACUAUGAGCAUCUUCGGCUGUGUUCCAAGAUGAACCGGUGCCCCCAAGUUUCCUCAGGGAGCAAACAAGCACUUGAGAAGCCACCUUGGACCUAGAGAUAGAAGCCGAGAACCAAGGGAGGCAGAGCCGUCCCGUUGCCCCAGGCCCUUGCUAAAGGAAAGGUGUGGUUUCCACCGCUGCCCGUCAGCUUCUUUGAUGUGGCACGGGGGUCUGCACACUAAUCAGCUCCGGGUGGAGGCGGCCUGCUCCUGCUCCGCAGAUCCAGUCUCCUGAUCUCUUGUGUCCAGUGGGAGAGUGUGGACUCGGCUUCUGACGGUUCCAGCCAACAUCUCCUGUCCUCUCUGGGCUCUGCCUGAGUCACAUGCCCACUCCUGAGCCAGUCACUCAGGCCAGAUGUAACAUCACCUGCUCUUCCCAGAAGCUGCUGUCCUGUGCCAGUUGCAGGACCCCUCAGAUGAACCUCAGUUUCCUUCCCGUCUGGCCUAUCUCUGUUCCACGUUCAGUGGGAUUUGUGCAGGGCUGCAGGAAGGCCAGGCGGCGUUGCCCACAAUGGUUAUUGCCUCCAACUCCAGAGGGCCCCAUCAACUGCCACCGGCUUUUAUUCCUGCAAAUAAAAAUGUAAGCUCCGCAGCAAGGAAACUGCAGGCUAAAGAGACAAAGCUCAUAAACUGGCAUUUUAAAUGUGGAAAGAAGGUGCUGGAAAUUCUCUGGGUGCUGCCUCCUGCAUCCCCUCUCCACCCAUCCAGUUGCUGGGCACAACUGCCCCCUAGAAGGACUUCUUCCAAGCUCAGGAGGGAGCCCAUCGGUGGGUGAGAAAGGCAACAAAUUGGAAAGCCUUAGGAUGGCAUUGAAGUGGUUUGAGCCACCCCCCAGCCCCCAAUGCACACGGACUUGGGUACCUCCUUUGGUACCAAAGCACAAUAAAAAUAAG
Molecule: non-coding RNA, 1071 nt
Organism: Ictidomys tridecemlineatus (thirteen-lined ground squirrel)
Lineage: Eukaryota; Metazoa; Chordata; Mammalia; Rodentia; Sciuridae
Source: RefSeq, a predicted model, not a curated record